RNAcentral lists this Y RNA (100 nucleotides) under Mandrillus leucophaeus (drill). RNAcentral's name for it is "Y RNA (ENSMLEG00000008371.1)". It matches the Rfam family "Y RNA". Rfam says of the family: Y RNAs are components of the Ro ribonucleoprotein particle (Ro RNP), in association with Ro60 and La proteins. The Y RNAs and Ro60 and La proteins are well conserved, but the function of the Ro RNP is not known. In humans the RNA component can be one of four small RNAs -- hY1, hY3, hY4 and hY5. Lineage: Eukaryota; Metazoa; Chordata; Mammalia; Primates; Cercopithecidae. The record is from Rfam by way of RNAcentral.
GGCUGGUCUGAGUGAAGUGGUGUUUACAACUAAUGGAUCACAACCAGUUACAGAUUUAUUUGUCUUCUCCACUCCCACUGCUUCACUUCACUAGCCUUAC